This is a long non-coding RNA of Macadamia integrifolia, 2363 nucleotides long. RefSeq lists it as uncharacterized. Lineage: Eukaryota; Viridiplantae; Streptophyta; Magnoliopsida; Proteales; Proteaceae. The transcript has 5 exons. The record is from RefSeq and is a predicted model, not a curated record.
UAGGGAGAGAUUACUGCGUUAGUUAAUGACCUCUAGCCUCCUUAACAUGGCAUAACACGUUUUAAGGCCUUGAGGCCCAUGGGCCAAAGAGGACAAUAUUGUGCAAGGUUAAUGGGGCAGGGGCAUUACAGGUUUGGUCAUCCUAUUUUCUGGAUUUUGUUCUCCUUUUUUGGUCCUAUUUUCUGGUUUCUGUUAAGACUAAUUUGAGGGUUCAGAUUUGAAUUGGUUUGGGCCAUUUAAAUAUUGGGAGUUUGUUUACCUAGUGUGAACCUACUUCUACAUUAACAAGUGUCUGCUGCUGAUCAAUCUGUGCUGGUCGAAUCUCCUUCAGUUAGGGGUUUGAAUGGUCUUCAAAUAUUAGCCUUGAUGGACUGAUGGUUGAAGGGUAAGUUGUCUGGAAGUUGCCAGAAAAUUGACUCAGAAUAGGACUGUUGCAAGUCUUGAAAGCCACCCAGAUAACAGAAACAGUAGCAGAUCUUGAAUGGCCCUUAUCUCUUGGUCCAAGCUUUAUCUUGGGUGCUUAGACAAGAAACCCCACAGGCCUGCCAAGGACUGACAAAGGGCUGGCUGAUAGGGGAAUUGGUUCUUGGCCUAAUCUCUUUUAUUUCCUUAUUUCUUUUAAAGGUUGUUAUUCAGUUUUAAAUUUCAGUUACUGAUAUUGGUACAAGCUGCGACGUUCUGUUAUCAGCCAGCAUUUUUUGUAAGUAAUGCUUUAAUUGCUCAACGUUUCCCCUUUAUGGGUGUUUCAGGGAUCAGAGUCCAGGUCAAGAGUGUGAAUUGAGAGUUGGAGCGAACAUACAAAAGAGCAGUACUUCUUGGCUAUAGGAUCAGAAUCUAAUAAUUCAGAUUGCCCUGUUCGGUUUCUUUGGAGGCAUGUAAUCAUCACAGUUGACAAGUUGAGUGUAUCUGGGGAAUUGGAGUUACGAGAACAACCAUUUAUUCUUCCUCAGACUGGAUUAGAAUACUCCUCUACAUGUCCAUAAAUCCUUAUGGGGUAAUGGUAAGAUGGGAAUUUCAUCAUGUUUCAAUAUUGAAAAAAUUUUGUAAUCAAGAAGUUUGGUUCUUUAAUGGUCUUUGGAGAGAACAAGAAUAAAAUGUUAAAAAAGGGCAUACCCGAUACACAAGGCUCCCGCAUGUGCGAGAUCCCGCCGGGGGGGGGGAAGGCGAGAACUACGCAGCCUUACCCCGAGAAUUUCGAGAGGCUGUUUCGACCGCUUGUCCACCCGGUUGCAACAUGUGUACCUUACUGUUGGACCAAGUGCGCCCCUCAAACAAGAAUGAAUUGUUGAUGUUCAUAAUUUUGAAUCCUCUGAAUUUGACACUGAAGCCAGAGAAUUCACCAUCUGAAAAGCUGCUUCAUCAGCUCUAUAAUUUUUUCAAAAUUGAGGCCAAGGGCUAGUGGUUGCGAGCUCUCCAGGGUAUAUCAAUGGCAGCCUCAUAGGUGACAAUGGAUUUGAUCCUCUUGGAUUUGCAGAGGACACUGAGAACGUGAAAUGGUUUGUGCAGACAGAGCUCUUUAGCGGUCUUUGGGCCAUGUUGGAUGUAGCAGGGAUGCUGCUGCCAGAAGUUUUCACAUAGAUCCGUAUCAUCUAUGUACCAAAAUGGUAUGUUGCAGGGGAAACAGAAGAAUUUUCUCCCUUGUCCACCCUCUUUGUGAUUGAGUUAUCCUUGUUCCAUUACGUGGAGAUCAGAAGAUGGCAAGAUAUUAUGAACCCAGGAAGUGUCAACCAAUAUCCCAUCGUCAGGAACUACAGCUUGCCUCCCAAUAAGGUUGGAUACCCAGGUGGGAUCUUCAACCCCAUUAAUUUUGCAUCAACUCUAGAGGCCAAGGAGAAGACCUUACCGAUGGGAGGUUUGCGUUGCUGGCUUCCUUGGGUUCUUAAUGUAGAACUAGGAUUGACACAGCAAUCAAGCCCCAGUAUUGCAGGAUUCCAUCAAAGAACAUCCACAAACAAGGAAUGCAUGCAAGCAGCUGGAGAAUAAGGGAAGAACUUACUUUCACUGAAACCAUCUUCCCAAAGAAACAUUUAUGGUGAACAAAAAUAUCCAGCAAUAUUGCUCAAAGUGGGAACUAUCUGUCUGGAUAAACCUGAAUGCACGUGUAAGUGAAAAAAUCAGAUCUAUGUUAUGGAGGACUUGAAGUCUUCGAUUCAUUUUAUACCUACCAUGCAAAUUAGUUGGUUCUUAAUCCAGUAAUAUAGUAAAAUUAGCAUAUUUCAUGGUUGCUCUAUUAAUAGCUUCUGUGUUAUUUUGCAAUCAGGCCAGACUUUUUGGUAUCUCCAUGUUUAUUGUAAUAUAGUCUAAUAUUGGAAUUAUUCUUUUGAUGAUAUUUGUAAUACCAUCUUUAAUAUGGGUUACGUUGA